This 253-nucleotide ribosomal RNA is filed under the name uncultured bacterium. Its description in RNAcentral is "partial 16S ribosomal RNA". It matches the Rfam family "Bacterial small subunit ribosomal RNA", at positions 524 to 776 of the family's 1533-position model. The record is from RNAcentral.
UACGUAGGUGGCAAGCGUUGUCUGGAUUUACUGGGCGUAAAGAGCGCGCAGGCGGUCGUUCAAGUCGCGUGUGAAAGCCCCCGGCUCAACUGGGGAGGGUCACGCGAUACUGAUCGACUGGAAGGCAGGAGAGGGUAGUGGAAUUCCCGGUGUAGUGGUGAAAUGCGUAGAUAUCGGGAGGAACACCAGUGGCGAAGGCGACUACCUGGCCUGUUCUUGACGCUGAGGCGCGAAAGCUAGGGGAGCAAACGGG